UGGCGGACGGGUGAGUAACGCGUGGGUAACCUGCCUCAUACAGGGGGAUAACAGUUGGAAACGGCUGCUAAUACCGCAUAAGCGCACAGUACCGCAUGGUACCGUGUGAAAAACUCCGGUGGUAUGAGAUGGACCCGCGUCUGAUUAGCUAGUUGGUGGGGUAACGGCCUACCAAGGCGACGAUCAGUAGCCGACCUGAGAGGGUGACCGGCCACAUUGGGACUGAGACACGGCCCAA
This 238-nucleotide ribosomal RNA is filed under the name uncultured bacterium. Its description in RNAcentral is "partial 16S ribosomal RNA". It matches the Rfam family "Bacterial small subunit ribosomal RNA", at positions 96 to 334 of the family's 1533-position model. The record is from RNAcentral.